RNAcentral lists this ribosomal RNA (534 nucleotides) under uncultured bacterium. Its description in RNAcentral is "bacterial SSU rRNA". It matches the Rfam family "Bacterial small subunit ribosomal RNA", at positions 365 to 918 of the family's 1533-position model. The record is from RNAcentral.
UGCACCCUGGGGGCAAACUUUGUUGCAGCGAUGCCGCGUGCAGUGAAGAAGGCCCUUGGGUUGUAAGCUCUUUCGUCGGGGAAGAAAAUGACUGUCCCCGAAUAAGANGGUCCGGCUAACUUCGUGCCAGCAGCCGCGGUAAUACGAAGGGACCUAGCGUAGUUCGGAAUUACUGGGCUUAAAGAGUUCGUAGGUGGUUGAAAAAGUUGGUGGUGAAAUCCCAGAGCUUAACUCUGGAACUGCCAUCAAAACUUUUCAGCUAGAGUUUGAUAGAGGAAAGCAGAAUUUCUAGUGUAGAGGUGAAAUUCGUAGAUAUUAGAAAGAAUACCAAUUGCGAAGGCAGCUUUCUGGAUCAUUACUGACACUGAGGAACGAAAGCAUGGGUAGCGAAGAGGAUUAGAUACCCUCGUAGUCCAUGCCGUAAACGAUGUGUGUUAGACGUUGGAAAUUUAUUUUCAGUGUCGCAGCGAAAGCGAUAAACACACCGCCUGGGGAGUACGACCGCAAGGUUAAAACUCAAAUGAAUUGACGGGG